RNAcentral lists this long non-coding RNA (37447 nucleotides) under Triticum aestivum (bread wheat). RNAcentral describes it as "long non-coding RNA (TAES_LNC017166)". The stretch from base 26616 to 26750 matches the Rfam family "MIR1120/MIR1122 microRNA precursor family". The record is from RNAcentral. Lineage: Eukaryota; Viridiplantae; Streptophyta; Magnoliopsida; Poales; Poaceae.
GGGGAAAUGGCACCUCGAGGGGUUCAGGUCUCCAUGAUCAAUAACCACAAUUUUGAUCUGAAUGAGCUGCCGACUGAGCAUGAGUAGCUCAAGAAGGAGUAGUCACCCAUGGAGCAAGAGUAGCCGCCUAUGGCACAACAUGAGCUUUAAUAUUCACAAUGGUUGGAGGCUACUCAAAUCCCGCUUGUGUGAGAAAAAAUAACUCUUGGCCCAAAGUAUAGCCCUGUCAGAAAUUAUCGAAACAAUAUCCUUAUCCCAAGGACGAUUGUAAAGCUUAUGUGGAACUUUUCAAUUUCUUGCUUCCUAUUUUUUGGUGAUUGACUGACGCUAUUGCUAAACUUGAGGGAAGGACUUGGUAUACUGCCUCAUGAUCAAUGUGUCACCUGGAAUGGCUUUUCUAUUCAUUUCCCAUGAUGGUUUUGAUAUGUAGAUUGUUUGGACAAGCAUUUAUUCAUUCGGUAAAGCUUUGUGAAACAUCAACGGUGUGAAAUGAUAGUAGGUCAAGAAGUGUGUUGGAUCAUGAGAUAACAUAUUUUCUAAGUUGUUAAUCAUGUGUGUUAACACCAUGGGUAGUAUGAGAGAAGGUCAACAUGCAUGUUUGGGUCUGAAAUGACCUCAUGACCCAAAAGGGAGAGAAACAUGCCUAAUAGGAAUAUGAACAAUAUGGAAGUUACUUGUUGCAUGGAUGUUAACUGUGGUUAUGAAACCACACAAGAUGUCAGAGGACCCGCAUCCUUACAUAUCAAGGUUGACUUCACAUGCCAACUGGAUUUCGACUAAAUUAUUGUAUAUGCAUGUAUGUUAUAUCUUGACAUCUUACCAAACAAAAAACACCAAAAAAUACACUAUUUACUUCUCUUUGAUGCAUAUUCUAGUUGGAGAGUAAUCAUAACCUUAUGUGGAUAUUUUUCCAUAAUAGAAUAUAUAAUGGUCUAGUGAGGCAAGGUGUAAAUGGAGAGGACAAUAGUCGAACAUGAAAACAUCCAACAUUGUGUUAUAGUUGCAUCAAGUUGUCUAGUGAGUCAAUAUGGAAAUGGAGGAGGCUCAUAGGGCAACACGAGAACACCCAACAUGUUGCUCUACUUACUUCCUAUUGGUACGAAGAGACCGAGAGUAGUGAAAGGUUAAUCAUAACACAUGGACAAGAUAUCUCAUACAAGAUGAAAAUGGAGUGAGUCUUGUAUGAAAAUGCUAACAAAGUAUGAGUGUGCAUAGCAUGCCAUCCCCUCCCUUUCUUGUUCGAGUUUCCUUCACCAACCCCAUAGUACCCUGAUCAACACUAUUAUUUGGAUAUGCUUCUCAUCUGAGAAAGAAUAGUUAUUGAGAGACAUUUAUAUCAUUGUCUAGAUAGACUUGUUCAAGGGCCAAUAAUGGAGGUGUCUUAUCUAUUAUAGCCACAUUCCGGAGAAGAAUAAAAAAAGUAGACACAACCUGAUAAUUUAUUGAGAUUUGAAUUGAGGAUCCACAUACAUCAACUAUCCCACAUGUGAAUCAAAUCCACAUCCUACAUGGGCAUUGGGCUUUAGUUGGACUACCACUUUAUGGACAAGCCAUGUGCUCCAUGUAGUCUAUGUUGCAAAGGCGGGAGGACAAGGAGCAAAUAGUUUUUGAUGGCUGGACAUUGAAGUUAUUUGUCAAGAAAUUUGUUUCCUGACAUGGUUUGUUUAUUUCAUUAUUUAGUAUUUGAUAUCGGUUCAAUGCUCUAGUAUGUAACAUUCUUCUCACAUUUUGGGUCUAGCUCUUGGUGUUCAUGAGUUCAUUACUUAUGUUAACUAUUAUUGUUGUGGCCACUUGUUCGACAAGAGACUAUAAAGUUAACUAAGAUACUCUCAUAUUUAUAUUAAUAUAGUUGGCACUGAGGUAAUAAUAAACCUUGAAUACUACUCAUAUUUGUCAAAUAGGAGGUCAAGCUGGAUCUGUCUGGCGCAUCAUCUAUGGUCACAUGGUGUAUUGUCUAUUCUAACCCCAAUGAGUAUUGCAGAAUGACAUGUUCCUGCGAGGAGGAAUGAGUCACUCUUUUGUGUCAAGGGGUGAUGCCAUGCCUCAUAAUUGACAAUAAAAAAUUAACCACCUACAUCAAAAGUCUAACCCAAGACAGGGAAUAGGCGCCAUUGCAAUUUUACCGCACAAAGUCAUCGGUAUUUUGCAAUUGAAUGUUCCCCAUGUUGUGACUGAGAACACAAAACACAAAACACCCCACAAAACACUAUUCACUUCUCUUCGAUGCAUAUUCUAGUGGAAGGGUAGUCAUAACCAUAUGGGAAUAUUUUACCACAAUAGAAUCUAUAAUGGUCUAGUGAGGCAAGGUUUAAAUGGAGAGGAUAAUAGGCGAACAUGGAAACAACCAACAUUGUGUUUUACUUGCAUCUAGUUGUAUAGUGAGAUAAUAUUGAAACGGAGGAGGCUUAUAGGGCAACAUGAGAACACCCAAUAUGUUGCUCUACUUACUUCCUAUUGUUACCAAGGGACUGAGGCUCGAGCAUGGUUAAUCAUAACACAUGGAGAAGAUCUCUCAUACUAGUUGAUAAUAGAAUGAAUCUUGUAUGAAAAUGCUAACAAAGUAUGAGUGUGCAUAACAUGCCAUCUCCUCCCUUUCUUGUCGUAUUUUCCUUCACCAACCCCCAUAGUACCCUGAUCAGCACUAUUAAUUUGAUAUGCUUCACAUCUGAGUUAGAAUUGUGAUUGGGAAUAGUUGUAUCAUUAUCUAAGUAGACUUCUUCAAGGGGAAAUAAUGGACGUGUCUUAUCUAUUAUAGCCACAUUCCGGAUAGGAAUAAAAAAGUAGACAUAACAAGAUAAUUUGUUGAGAUUUGAAUCGAAAAUACAACAUACAUCAACUAUUCUACAUGUAAAUCAAAUCCUCAUCCUACAUCGGCAUUCGGCUUUAGUUCGACUACCACUUUAUGGACAAGCCGUGUGGUCCAUGUGGUCUACGUCACAAAGGCCAGACGACAAGGAGAAAAUAGUUGUCGAUGAUUGAUCAUUGAAGUUAUUUGUCAAGAAAUUUUUCCCCGACAUGGUUCAUUUAAUUCAUUAUUUAGUAUUUGAUAUCGGUUCUAUGCUCUAAUGUGUAACCUUCUUCUCACGAUUUGGGUCUAGCUAUCAGUGGUCAUGAGUUCAUUACUUAUGUUAACUACUAUUGUUGUGUCCACUUGUUCGCCAAGAGACUAUAAAGUUAACUUAUAUCCUCCCGUAUUUAUAUUAAUAUAGUUUGUGGUUAGGUAAUCCUUGACCUUGAAUAUUACUCACAUUUGUCAAAUAGGAGGCCAAGCUGGAACUGUCUAGUGCAUCAUCUGUGGUCACAUAUGGUGUAUUGCCUAUUCUAAACCCAAUGAGUAUUACAUUAUGGCAUGUGCCUGCGAGGAGGAACUGAGUUACUCUUUUAUGUCUAGGGGAGACGGCAUGCCUAAUAAUUCUCAAUGAAAAAUUAUAGCCUACAUCAAAAGUCUAACCCAAGAAAGUGAAUAUGUGCCAUUGUAGUUUUACAACACUAAGGGUGUGUUCUGAUCUUGUCGUGCUCCACGCUUCCCAAAUUCCUGGAGCAGAUACGAGCCGAACGAAAUAGCAGCGAGAAGCUAACUCCAGGAAGCUAGGAUUGACCGCAGCGCAAAAUCAUGAAGCAGACUCGGCCCAGCUCCACCAAUCCGAAAAGCUGAAGUUGGCCGAUAUUACAAGUAAACUGCCACAGCCAAGUCAUACGAGUCGAACCGGUACGCUCGAUCUGUUUGAUCGCUCCUCGUUCCCUCGCUCGUGCUCCCUCGCUGCUCCUCUACAAGGCCGAUUUGGGUUGCCUCCAGUCAGCCCAACUAGCUCGAACAGGCCACAACCCUUCUAGCUAGGUUGCAGUGCCGCGAGAAGCUGCAAACCGAGCCAAACGGAUUUUUCAUCGCUGCUUGGAGUGAGAAGCUACUCUGAAUAGGUGAAUUUCUGAAGUUUUGGGAAGCUAGAGGAGAUCAGAAAAGGCCCUAAGUCAUCGGUAUUUCAUAAUUGAAUGUUCUCCAUGUCGUGACUUCUGAUGGUGUAAACCCAAAUAAUUGCCAUUGUGAAAUUAAGUUCCUUUCGUGAGUCAGAACCCACAUCCGUAAAGAUGUGCCACUACAAUCCACCUCAUGGCUAUCUUGGAGUCCUUAAUAUAAUCAAGUGUGCCCAAUAUGGUGACUUAAUAUGUACUUAUUGACCCUACGAAGCUAAUCGCCUCCAUCAAGACCCCUUCCUGGUUCUCCUAUAACUAGAUUCCUCGAAACCACGAGAAUCCUUACAAUGGGAUAACAACUUAGCACCUUUCGUUUUCACAUAGUAAGAAGAGUUGCUCCUUGGAUAGCACGGUACGAUCAAAGGUGUAACCUGUGUUUUGGAGCGAGUUAUUGUCUCGAAACUUUGUUCUCAACUAUUCCGAAUCCAGCAAACGGAGGCCAUUGGGUCAAAGCUGUAGCGCACGCCCUGUAGUUUUCAAGUGGGGCGAGACAACUUAGCUAGGAACCUAUUUUCAUUCUGACCAGCUCCCUGAAAACAAUGUUCGACUUCAUGUGUAGUCGGUGUAGAUGUGUCAUUGCAAUUCCACCACUAGGAUAUCACCAAGUCCUAUGUAUUACAUGUCAACAUAUGCCACCAUAUGGUUACUUGACAAAUUAAAUGGAUUUCACCAAGAUUUCAUGUUACAAUUAUAGUGAAGAUAGUGACUCACAUGUCAGCCUCCCUGACGGGAAGCAAAAUCACUCUGACUUUGGCAACCUAAUUCUUGGCGGGUUCAAGCAAACAUGUUGGAUUUGUAUUUUAUUUAUUUCAACAUAUAUAAUUCAUAUAAAUAAAUCAAUUCAUAAUAGGAGUCUUGGAGACACCCAUGUCAAUAAUGUGAAAUUAUGGGAAAUCUUAUUAUGUGCAUCAACAUAAGCCAAAACUCGUGGCUUAAGAGAUAUGUUUACAAUCUUCCAAUGGUUAUUCCCCCUACUAAAUUCAUGAUGUUAACUAGUUCCCAUAAGUUGAGAAAGAAGUUUAGUCAUGGGAUCAAUGUCCAGUGCAUCAUAUUUCCAGUUCCCAAAAAAAAUUAUUAUGGAAGUUGAGAAAGAAGUUUGGGCAACAUAUUUCCAGACACCUGUCAUGUCUAGGAUCUUCUCAAGCCUAGGUAAGCUUAGUCACGGGAUCAAUGCAGGCUAUUAGUACAUUGACCCGGUUCUUAAUUCAAGUCCUCCUUGCUAGAUACAAUAUUGAAUGGAAAGUACAUAAUCAAUUUAUUUAAGUGGGUGAACAAUGUUGGCUAGUAUAUUUCAACACUCACCUCACAUGCAUCUUUUAGAGGCAUAUAAUGCAUCGUGAUGGAAACAUUUUUUCUAUAGACUAAAUUCCAAUGGAAAAUUUUAAUUAAUUUAAUUAGUAGCAAUCUCGUAUGGUAAGGAUAUAUGGCAAAUGAAAAUGAGGGCUUAAAUGCUACUUGUUGGCACACAAAAGUCAUGUUGUCUUUUUCCUCCCAUGUUGAUCCUUUGUGGUUUGACAUUAGGCAUUCCAAAGAGAACAAGUUAUCUUUACACACCUCUAGAGCUACUAGACCCUGGAUGUUCCACCAUGAAUGUCCAUAUGGUGCAAUGAGUGAUAGCGAGCUAUAUUAGAACAUAUAGUUUACACCGUUAAAGUAAUUAAAUGGGCUAUUUUGGCUACUAUGAAAAAUAGUAUUUUAAGAGAAAACUAUGUAAGAGUUUGUGAUCUUUGUAUGUAAAAGCAUUAUUUGCCUUUGCUUGGUGUUCACGCAGUUUGAUUUAUGGCAAAAAUGUAAAAUCAUGGGACAAUAAUUGUUGAUAUUCUUUGCGGAGAAAGCGAGAUCUUUCCACUUUUCAGAUCACACAAAGUAUUGUUUUUCUUAUAGGGGUGAUAUACAGUGUUCUAAAUCUGCACUUGUGAUUCGUUGUCCAUUUAAAUUUAAAUGGUUUCUUCCACAGAUUAUGUUGGUUUGUUGUUGUAUUUAUCUCAGCACUAAAGUAUACUGAUGUUAGCUAAGUCCAAUCAAAGGCCCAUGUUUUUAUCAUGUUAUGCAAAUUAGUAAGCUAAGAUCUUACCAAACUCAAGUUACAUAAGCCCAGACUACGUGAAAUACACAUCAUGCAGUACACAUGUUCAUCUUAGUGUUAUGUUAUACUUGGCUUCGAGAUAACAAAUGGUAUCAAUUAUUACUAUCUUUUGCAGCUUGUUUCUGCCUGGUCAUCGUAGAAUUAUCUUAUGUGGUCUCCCAAGGUUCAUGCAACUUGGAUUUUCAUACUUUGGUAGUAUUAGUGUUCACUAGGACUAGGUGCCACUCUGUAGAAGCUAAGGAUACAGAUGGAGAAAGUAGUCAUGGUUUUUUUUUUCAAAAAGUUUGUUCAUAUCUAUAAGAGGUUUAUGAUUUUUCAGUGUAUACUGUUGUGAAACCUAGAGUGUUUUAUCUCAUUUAACAUUGAACUACGCUUUCAAGGAAAAACCUUCAUUUGACAUCGAACUAUGCAUGCAGGGCAAACACCCCGUGCUUCGUUGCCACCGCGCCGCGAACCCUGGGAGCUUGAACCUGGAUGGGUGUGAACUUAAGAUUGAUGUCAAUGUUAGGGGUCAGUCAUUGAUAGAGAAUAAAGGGGACUUUGCGAAACUGUUAUUAAUAAUAUGGAUGAAACAUUGCCUUGUGGAGAGAAUAAGAUAUUUCAAGAGAUAUUUAUAAAUGGAUGCAUACUUGCAAUAGCAGUACAAAAUAUGAUGCUAACAUUUUAUUUUCAUUGUUGUUCCCAUUAAACUUCUGGUGGUGGCUCCAUUAUUCACAGCCUCGCACAUGAAAAUGUUAUUUCGUUCGGGUAAAUGUUGCGUGUCGUUGCUCCUGUAGUUUUGCGGUUUGCAUGUCCUUGAAACUUGUGAAUUGGAUUUUGCGAAGUUGCAAUGCAAAUUUGGGAUGCAGGGAAGAUAAUAAACAAUGCUUUCUAAGAGCAUUGGAUAUUGGAUGCGACUCAGAAAGAACGCAUGCAAACGCAAGAUGCAAGACGUAGUAGGCACAUGUCCAGGUUUAUUAAGAGCAUCUACACCGGACGCCUCAUAUCUGUCACAAACGCAAAAUUGCCGGUCAGCACUAGGACGCAAAAUUGCCACCCAACAGGAUCUGUCAAACCCGGCCCAAACGUCUAGACAUGACCGCACUCCCCAUAUCCAGCCCAUAUCUCGGACGGAUAUGUGGAAGCCCAGAGACGCCCGGACACACCCGCCAUGUAGGAUCCGGCCGAGUGCGGCCCACCCGACCCUACAUAAAUUGGACCCUAUCCGCACUCCGAGCGAAACCCAAGCGGCAUUCAACUCCACUCUACUCCUCGCCAGGCCACUCCCGUCCACCCACAAGCCCCAUUUGCGAAUCUCCCACCAUUUCGAGCCGUUGAACCGGAGAUCGUCCCACGCGGCCCCAAGGAGGAGAUGGUCGACUGCCGUGCGCUUCUCCACUACCGGAGGAGUCCGCCCAGCAGCGGUCGAAAUCCAUCUGGUGGGAAUCCAUUGCGUCUGCCACAAUGGAGCAUGGAUCCCGCCCGAGGGCAGUCUACGCUGCCUUAGCAGAGGCAGUGCACUCCGUCUGGCGUCCGAACGCCGUGGAGGAUACGCAACCACUUUGUUGGCGCACUGAGAAAGAUAUGCACACCCGCUUAACGUCUGAUAUUAAUAUGGUGUGUGGCGCAUCCACCGUGUUAGGCAAUGGGCGGGGGAACCCGCGGCAGCCCUCGUGCCAGACGCCAGCGGGGCAGACUCGCACUCUUCGGUGCCUCGUAUCGUGCCCGGCAGCCCUUGGCGCCGAAAUCAUGUCGUGUUGGAUGCGGCCGGCUCCACCAUCAUGGAUCAAUCAUCGACCUCACAUCCACCGACGACGGGAGAGCACGGGCUCCGACGAGAAAGAGUAGGCCAUGGGAGAUGGCGCCGAAUCGAGUUUCUUUUGCCGGGUCGUGUCCCAUGUCCUACUCUACCUCACCAGAGACCGACCCUCCACUUUGACAGGCUCAGACAGCCAUCGGACAUGGACAGUUUAUGAACAACAAGGACAGUCGCUGGCACAAAUUUAGACUACAGCCGUCGACGCGAGGUAAGUGCGGCAUGAGUUAAUCGCUGAAGAGGUUGGGCCGUUGUCGCCGGUUUGUCGUACAGUUGCCGACAUAGUCGUCCAUGACCACCAGAUCGACGCCGCCGUCACUGCAAGUCUAGGCGUCUCUGUAGUGGCUGAAGUCAUUUUAGUGUAUUUUCUUUGUAUUGUGAUUAUUGCAUACUGUGUUGUGUAUUGUGGCGUAUUUUCUUUGUAUUGUGAUGAUUGUAUACAGUACAAUGUAUUGUGGCAUAUUUUUUGUGGUCUAUUUUUAAAAAGAAAACUAUAAAUAGCUAAAAGUGGGGUGCAGAAUAAAUUUAUACCCGCCACUACAAAACAAAUGCCAGUACUGACACAUAUUUUUGCCCACCAUUAAUAGUAAUGACCCCCACUGCUACAAGAUCGAGGUCGAUGGCGGGCUGUUUGUAACGCCCGCCACUGUUAUAGUCAUUGGCAGGUGGAGCGCCCGCCACUAAUGCCAUGUUGCCAGUGGCAGGCGCCUCUGAGAGCCUUACCCGUCAUUACUAGGCUUUUGAUGCCGCCACUGCUACGCAUUCCUGCGAUAGUGUGCAAUUGCAUAUCUAGUAGAACAUAUACAACUAUCCUCCCAACAAACAGUUUCGUUCUACCAUGAAGUUAUAGUCGGGGUGAAGACAUUCAUUUAUAAUUGGAAGUGACGUUGCAGUUGCAUAUCAAGUAGGAGAUAUUUAACUGCCCUAAUGACAAAACACUUUUGUUCCCUGAGUUACAGUCGCAUUGGAGACAUGCAUUAGCGAAAUGGCACCACCUGUAGUUGCGUGUUUGGAGUUAGACAUGCAACUAGCUCCACAAUAAUAAUCUGAAUUUUAAGUUUUAAUGAAUUUUAAAUUAAAGAAAAAAGAAAAGAUGAGGAUAUAAAAACAGAAAUAGAGAAAACAAACAAUAGGAAAAAUCCUAAAAAAGGCAAAAACAAAGAAAGGAAAAACCUGUUUGAAGUUUCUAGAAGCUUCAUAAAACCAGUAGAAAGAGUCCUACAUGGGGCGGCCCACUCACACAUGUAAAAAGAGGCGGGCGAGGUGUAUGUCGACUAGCUCAGAGUUGGGGAAUCCUAUUCCGCGCAUAGGUCGCUACGUAGCGACCUAGCGCGUACCCCUCGGGUUUGUGGUCCUCUUCGGGUCGGUCCAUUCCAGGUUCUUCCCCAUACCGGUUUUCAGGAAAGUUCUAGAUCUUUUUUUCUAUUUUCUUUGUUUUCUUCUAGUUUUUUCUUUCUUUUAUAUUUUAUAUAUUACUUCUUAUUUUCUUUUACUUUAAAUUUUCUUUUUUGGUGUUGCAAACAUAUUUUCAAAUUCGUAAACGUUUAUUGAAUUCAAGAACAGUUUUUGAGUUGACAAACAUAUAUCUGAAAUAAUGAACAUUUUCUAAUUCGACAAUACAUUUUAAAAUCACAAAAUAACAGAAAAAUAACUUUUGAGGACAUUUUUUAAAAAUUCUGAACAUGUUUGUCAAUCGGCCGACAUUUUUUGAAUCAAUGAACAUUUCUAUGAAUUGACAUGAUUUUUUUGAAUUGGUAAACAUUUUUUGAAUCGAUGACCAUUUUUUGAAUCAAUGAAUAUUUUUUACAUGAAUGAACAUUUUUGGAAAUUCACAAUAAUUUUUUUGAACAUUUUAAUAACUUGUUGAAUAUUGCUUGUAUCUCAACUUCCGUCCUGAUUAAUUAAAUAAAGUGGUGAUACCCAUCAAAAAAAAUAGCUACGGUUGGCACAAAAAUCGCGAUCAACGAAGGAAUAGACCUUCUCCCAGGAAGACCCGAUCAGACUCGGAAUCCCGGUUUACAAGACAUUUCGAUAAUGGUAAAACAAGACCAGCAAAGCCUCCCGCUGUGCCGACAAAUCCCGAUAGGAGCUGCACAUAUCUCGUUCUCAAGGCACACCGGAUUAUCCAAACUUCCGGUAGGCCAGCCCAGAGUUGCCCCUGGUGGCCACCGGCGGCUGGCAGGUUGGACCAACACUCACGACGAGCACUNNNNNNNNNNNNNNNNNNNNNNNNNNNNNNNNNNNNNNNNNNNNNNNNNNNNNNNNNNNNNNNNNNNNNNNNNNNNNNNNNNNNNNNNNNNNNNNNNNNNNNNNNNNNNNNNNNNNNNNNNNNNNNNNNNNNNNNNNNNNNNNNNNNNNNNNNNNNNNNNNNNNNNNNNNNNNNNNNNNNNNNNNNNNNNNNNNNNNNNNNNNNNNNNNNNNNNNNNNNNNNNNNNNNNNNNNNNNNNNNNNNNNNNNNNNNNNNNNNNNNNNNNNNNNNNNNNNNNNNNNNAAAUAAAGAUGACCCUUGAGUCUGCAGAACCCAAGGGAAAAAGGCUUAGGUAGGCAAAUGGUAAAACCAAGGUUGGGCCUUGCUGGAGGAGUUUUAUUCAAAGCGAACUGUCAAGGGGGUCCCAUAAAUCACCCAACCGCGUAAGGAACGCAAAAUCCGGGAACAUAACACCGGUAUGACGGAAACUAGGGCGGCAAGAGUGGAACAAAACACCAGGCAUAAGGCCGAGUCUUCCAUCCUUUACCAAGUAUAUAGAUGCAUUAAUUAAAUAAGAGAUAUUGUGAUAUCCCAACAUAAUCAUGUCCAUCAUGGAGCAAUCUUCAACUUCACCUGCAACUAGCAACGCUAUAAGAGGGCUGAGCAAAGCGGUAACAUAGCCAAGCAAUGAUUUGCUAGGAAUGGUGAAAAGGUUAGAGGCUGACAUGGCAAUAUGGGAGGCAUGGUAAACAAGUGAUAGGUAGCGCAGCACAGCGAUAGAACGAAGCAACUAGCAAGAAAAGAUAGAAGUGGUAUCAAGGGUAAUGGUCAUCUUGCCUGAAAUCCCGAUAGGAAGAAGAACGAGUCCAUGAAGAAGACAAACGAACGUAGUCGAACAAAUCCUCACAACUCCGGAACGAAACCGAAGCUAACGAAAGAAGCAAACCGGAAAGAAGCAAAGAACAUGGUAAACACACACACAUAAACAUGGCAUGAUGCACAAACAAGUAUGAUGCAUGUCCGGUUUAAUGAGGCAUGGCAUGGCAAAGUGCAACAAACAAUACUACAAGUUAAGUGGAGCUCAAUAUGCAACGAGUUUCAUAUUGACGAAACACCACAUCAACUAUUUAGUUCUCUCUCGUUUAGGCUAACAAACAAUAUUUAAUGUUGUUAAACAUGUCAAGAGGUGAAACAUAAUUAAACUAACUAUUUAGGCAAGUUUAAAUGAGGCCGGAAACAACAAACAACAAUUCCGGUAAAUCCCCAUAUGUCAAUUAGCAAUUUUAAAGCAAACAACAGUUUUAACCAUUUUAAAUGUUGUUAUCAUGAUGCGGAUGACAUAUGCAAGUUUUAUGCAAUUUUAUGAAAAUGUUGACAUGAGCAUGUUAUGAAGCAUUUGGUCACCAUGGCGGAACGAAAAGGGUGCCACGGCAACGAUAACGAAAAUGGUGCCACGGCAACAUAUCCGAAAAUGAUGCCACGGCAACAUAUCGGUCCCGAUAACUCGAGUGAGAUACCGAUGCAAAUGAGAAGUGUGACGUGAGCGAGUCAUGCAAGAUGGUGGGGUGAUCCCAGCUACCGGGUUCCCACGGCUUAGUGGCAUGGCAAAGAGCGACAAUUCGGACGCGGUGCACACACAAGCAUCUCAUACAACACAUAUUCAUUCGGUCCACGGUUGAUCGUCUCGGGGCUUAUACCUUCGAAGCGUGCGUUUUCGGAGCGGUUCAAAAACGUCGAGGGAAGUAGUCAUUCACGGGUCGUAGGGGAAGUAGUUGUUCACGUUCGUCUCGGAGAGGUACUUGACGAAUCCAACAUCUUCGGGGCGACGAUAGUGGUUCACGGACGUCGUGGGAAGUAGUGGAAGUAGUUGUACACGGCGACGGUAGUUGUACACACGUUGUAGUCGAACUUGACGGUCUCGGUCCUGGCGAUCCAAAGGGCACUUGGCGGUUUUGAUCGAACCGUAGUGGUACUGGGCGAGAUACACAGCCACGGUAGUCUUCGGCCUUGAUUUUCCUGCACAUGACUCCACAGGUCCUGAGGGGACUCGGCGAUGGCCAUGGCAAAGAGGCGGCGAGGCGUUGGACGGACUAACAGGCAGAGGUGGUCGUAGUAGUACUAGCUCAUGGGGAUGGCGGUCUUGGGCGGCAACAACCUGCCGUGUUGGUGCAGCAGCGGCUGCUGGAGAGGCCAUGGCUACAAGGGUGGCGAGCUCGAGCAAAUCCGACGAGGACGUCCGGGAUGGCUGGGGUUGCGAGGGAGCAGAGGUCGGCCGGUCGUGGCAGACAGCAGAGAACACCUCAGCCACGGGGAAGGUGGACGGCGGGCUUCGGAGCAAGGGGAGACAGAUGCGGGCGAGCGGAGCACGGCGGGGACGCGGGGAUGCUGAUGGCCUGCGACAGAUAGACUUUUUUAGUUCGCACUCGUGUUCGUGUUGGAGACGGACUGCUCCUUCGUGUGCGAGAUGGACGACGACGUGUUUUUUUCCUCUUCCCGGUUGAUGAUGCCCAUAUGGAGUGCGGGUUGAUUUCAUAAAAGAUGAGGGACUUGUUUGCAAAAAUGCUGCAACGGUGAACCCAGAGACCCAAUCCGUGCUUUAUUAUUAGGGAGAGAUUAGGGAAAGAUAUAUAUAUAUAUAUAUAUAUAUAUAUAUAUAUAUAUAUAUAUAUAUAUUUCUAUCAUAGCUUACUAUGGAAAUAGCUAUCAGAACCGUCGGACUCUACCUCAAGAUUCGAACCGAAGUGUGGUCCGGUUCCUUUUCUUGUUCUUUUGUUGAUUUUUGGAUGGUGUAACCCACAAACAAAAACUCAAACGACAUCCACCCUGCUAGCCCAGGCUGCCGACCUGGAACCUAUUCCCUGAUCUAAGAAGCAGAAGAAGAACUCACGCAAGCAAGCAUCGCUCACGCGUCAUGAUCAUCGCAAAACCUAUACCUGCAACUGUUGUUGUAGUAAUCUGUGAGCCACGAGGACUCAGCAAUCCCAUUGCCAUGGGUAUCAAGACUAGCAAAGCUUAAAGGGAAAGGAAGGGGUAAAGUGGUGAGGCUGCCGCAACGACUAAGCAUAUAUGGUGGCUAACAUACGCAAAUAAGAGCGAGAAGAGAGCAAGCAGAACGGUCGUGAAGCUAGCAAUGAUCAAGAAGUGAUCCUGAACUCCUACUUACGUCAAACAUAACCCAGAAACCGUGUUCACUUCCCGGACUCCGCCGAGAAGAGACCAUCACGGCUACACACGCGGUUGAUGCGUUUUAAUUCGGAUCUGGUGUCAAGUUAUCUACAACCGGACAUUAACAAAUUCCCAUCUGCAUAUAACCGCAGGCACGGCUUUCGAAAGAUUAUACCCUGCAGGGGUGUCCCAACUUAGCGCAUGACAAGCUCUCGCGAUCAACGAAGGAAUAGACCUUCUCCCAGGAAGACCCGAUCAGACUCGGAAUCCCGGUUUCUAAGACAUUUCGACAAUGGUAAAACAAGACCAGCAAGACCGCCAGAUGCGCGGACAAUCCCGAUAGGAGCUGCACAUAUCUCGUUCUCAGGGCAACACCGGAUGAGCAAUCCGUACAACUAAAAGCAGACCUCAAAUUUCCCUGAGGGGGUGCUGUAAAGGGCUCUAGUGCGGACCAACACUUAGACAAGCACUGGCCUGGGGGGGCUAAAAUAAAGAUGACCCUCGGGAUGCGCCACUCCCAAGGGAAAAAGGGGUAGGUGAGGCAAAUGGUAAAACCAAGGUUGGGCCUUGCUGGAGGAGUUUUAUUCAAAGCGAACUGUCAAGGGGGUCCCAUAAAUCACCCGACCGCGUAAGGAACGCAAAAUCCAGGAACAUAACACCGGUAUGACGGAAACUAGGGCGGCAAGAUUGGAAUAAAACACCAGGCAAAAGGCCGAGUCUUCCACCCUUUACCAAGUAUAUAGAUGCAUUAAUAAUAUAAGAGAUAUUGUGAUAUCCCAACCAAAAUCCUGUCCACCAUGGAGAAAUCUUCAACUUCACCUGCAACUAGCAACGCUAUAAGAGGGGCUGAGCAAAAGCGGUAACAUAGCCAAACAACGGUUUGCAUAGGAAAGGUGCCAAAGGUUAGAGGUUCAUGGCAAUAAGGGAUGGCUGGAUAAAUAGGUGAUAGGUAACGCAGCAUAGCGAUAGAACGAAACAACUAGCAUAGCAAUGAUAGUAGUGAGAUCCAGGGUAGCAGUCAUCUUGCCUGAAAUCCCGCUAGGAAGAAGAAACGAGUCCAUGAAGAAGACGAACGGAUGAAGCCAAACCAAGCGUAGACGAACGAAUCCUCACGAUCGCAACGAAACAGGAACUAUCGAAAAGAAGCACACAACAUAGUAAACACACCACACAUGAACAUGACAUGAUGCACAACAAACAUGAUGCAUGACAAAGCUACAUGAAGCUACUCAUGGCAAGAGAUGAUGCAAACAAGAACAACACAACAAGGCAAGUUUAAAUGAGGCCGGGAACAACAUAUAACAAUUCCGGUAAGUCCUCAUAUGCAUAUUUCGAAAUUGGUCCAGAUCUGAAUAAACCUUAUGUUCAAGUUGUUAAACAGCAAGUUAAGAUGCAACAAGAUGAUCUACACGAGAUUCUAGUCAAGUUACUUAUAAAGUUCAUUUAGUUCGGAGCUACGGCCUAAGAGAUAUGAGGAAAACAAGUUAAACAUGGCAUUGAUGCAAAAUGCACCCAAACAUCAAGCAAACACACCAAAACAAGGAUGCAACAUGAUAAUAUGAAACUACAUGCAAAAUCAAGCAAGUUUCAUAUAGAGCACACUCAAAACGGAGCAACGGUUCAACACACUCACACUAAACAAGUCAUAGCAACAAUCUGUCCAAAACAGCAACUAGGCAUAUUGCAAGCAUCAAAACAACAUGCUACGGGACCUCAACAAGAAAACAAAAGGCAUGGGCAUGAUGUACAGGUAAAUCAUUACAAAACAUGAACACUGAGCUAUCUCCAGAAAUCACUAGAAAAUGCUCAAACACACAUGGUAAGAUUGCAAGUUAUAACAAUUUCAGACUUUGCAGAAAAUAACAUCACGAUGCAAUGUUUAGAGCUAUCACACAAUAUGUUACAGGAACUUAUCAUGGCAAACAAAGGCAUGGCAUGAAUCUACUAAUUGCAUAGAUCAAAAGUCCCUUAGUGACCUUAAGCCAAAAAGGACCAGAAAAUAUGAUGGCACCCACGUAAAUAUAGCAAGUUAUUAUACAGAUUCAAACAUGGCAGAAACAGAAUUAUGAAGGCGUGUAGAUGAGCUUGUGCAACUCACUACAGAUCAUUACAUGGCAUUGCAAGGCACCCAACAGUAAGAAGGCAUGUUUGUGAAGCUAAGCAUGGCAAUAGCAAGGUCAUAGGGUUCAUGGAACACUAGCAAAACACAUGGAAACAAGUGAACUUAAUGUUAACAGGCUGACAGCAACAUUAUGAAGCAACUUUGGAGCAAGCUAUGAACAAGCUACAGCAAGCUAUAAAUGCAAACAGGGCAUGGAUGGAUAUAGCAUGACAUGUAGAACAAAACACAUUUAUAGAACAUCUCCAGAUUAUGCAUAGAAUGAUUUGUAGAAGCAUGUUUAUAUAGCAUCACGAAAUAAUAGAUUCAGCCUAGCAAAACAACAUCAUGUACCCUACUUAACAAGCUCGAUUCACUCACCACAAGUCAUUGCAUGACAAGAUAAGCAUAGCAUCAUCAAGAAGACAUGUUUGUGAAGCAAACCAAGUCAAGAACAAGUCCAUAGCAUGCAAGGAUCAACUACACAACCUUGGCUAAAUUGAAUGACAAGUAAACAAUCUGCCAGGAAACAUUUUGAAGCAAAAGUAGAGCACUCAAAUGACAUGCUAGACUACUCCAUAAUUGCAACCAAGGGCAUGAAUGGAUAGACAAUAACCAUAUGUUCAAAACAUCCUUACUGAAGUAUCUCAAAAUAUGCAUGGAUCUCUCUGUAGCAUCAAGUAUAUAUGGCAUCAAAAUAACAGCAGAACAGGGAGUAAAAUCAGUAACAUCACGAUGCCUAGUUUGCAUGCUUGUGCUAGUCACCACAUUGAUCACAAAAAUACAUGGUAAGCACCUCUGUAAAGAAGACAUGGCAUAGAUCAAAACACAUGUAGACAUCAACCUCAUAGGAUGCACACAUCAAUCAUGGCAAAAAUGACAAAAGAGCUCGUUUUGGUAACAGACAGCAGAAAACAUUAUGAAGCACUCUUACAACGAUGAUUCAGGCAUCAAGAUGACCUCAAAUGAAUAUAAUGCAAUGGAAUGAAAUGAUGUACUCGUCGAGGCGAACAAUUUGACAUAUUACACGCACGAAACGGAGCUACAGAUGCAGAGAUACAGCAGGUCAAACAUGGCAUGAAAAUUACACAGAUUCAGGGACUUAGGCAAAAUUAUAACUCGCGAAAAGUCAACCCGGGACGAGGACGUUCUGGGAUGGAGGGAUCCAGGACGGGGGCGCCGUUUGGUUGGUGGGCCUGGUGGAUCUCAUCCACUCGUGGCGGAUCUGGCCGGAGGAGAGCUCCGGCGAGCUCUCCGGCGAGGCACGGUCGACGAGGGGCGAGGUGGGACGGCGGGGAUCCGCGACGGAGGCGCGCAGGGGCUCGGGAUCCGGAGGGGCGAGGUCGGCGGGGGAGCUCCNNNNNNNNNNNNNNNNNNNNNNNNNNNNNNNNNNNNNNNNNNNNNNNNNNNNNNNNNNNNNNNNNNNNNNNNNNNNNNNNNNNNNNNNNNNNNNNNNNNNNNNNNNNNNNNNNNNNNNNNNNNNNNNNNNNNNNNNNNNNNNNNNNNNNNNNNNNNNNNNNNNNNNNNNNNNNNNNNNNNNNNNNNNNNNNNNNNNNNNNNNNNNNNNNNNNNNNNNNNNNNNNNNNNNNNNNNNNNNNNNNNNNNNNNNNNNNNNNNNNNNNNNNNNNNNNNNNNNNNNNNNNNNNNNNNNNNNNNNNNNNNNNNNNNNNNNNNNNNNNNNNNNNNNNNNNNNNNNNNNNNNNNNNNNNNNNNNNNNCGCGGUGGCUGGCGGCGGAGAGGCCACGUGGCGCCUCCUAAUUGGCUGCAAGCGGCGGCGGACGCGUCCGGCGACGAGAUGGACAUGUCCGGCGCGGCGCGGAGGGGAAAAACUAGGGUUAGGGUGGAUUUGAUCCGCGAAUUUCGGGGGGAGGGGCUUAUAUAGUUUCUGGGAGCUAGGAGAGUCCAAAUGAGGAGCGGUUGAAAUAAUUUACAAAAGACUGAAGAGGUUCCGCACGAAUGAGAUAGAUGGUCGAGAGAGAGUCAGACUCCGGGAAGAAAAGGGUGGGAGGGCAGGAAAACAAAGGCAACUUGGAAGGGGGAACGACGAAUAUCUUGAAGAGAAAACUCCGGUUGAAAUCAUUGCGGAAAGAAAGCAAAGACUUCGCACGAGUAGGAUGGAUACUCGAUUACGGACUCCGGCUUCGAGAAGAAAAGGGGAGGGCGGGUGGGAAAAGAAAACAACUGAGGAUUGAACUUGCAAAGAUGAAGAGGGUCAAGUCAACUUGACGAGAAAUGCACCGGAUGAAAAGAGCUGAGGAACAACGAUCGAAAAACCAACUGCGUGAUCCUAAAGAAAAAUUUGAAGGGGAAGAGGAGUAAUUCAAAUCACCUACGUCAAGAUUCCUCACCAGAGCGACGAAGGGGCUGAGGAGUAAAAAGAAUUCCUACUCUCCGAUAUAACUAGACUCCGAAAACAGUUUUAUUCUAGACUCAACAUCGGCCAAACUACACGAUCAAUCAAGGGGGCUCCUAGGGUCGGUCGAGGCUCUGAUACCAACUUGUCACGCCCAAUAUGCGACCCUAUCCAAAAGGAACUCGAAGAUCCCACCAAGAAUAGGCCCGCAUAUUGAAACGCUUUUGCAAGGUGGAUAUCAUUACAUCAACAUUACAUAAUAUAUGGGGAAACAGACAUAAGGCAUACAAUGCACACGAAUACAACAUCACAAUACAUCAAAGCAUCAUCCAACUACGGAUGAAAUACAAACAGAAACUCAAACGACAUCCACUCUGCUAGCCCAGGCUGCCGACCUGGAACCUAUCCCUGAUCAAAGAAGAAGCAGAAGAAGAACUCCAAAACAAGCAACAUCGCUCUCGCAUCAUGAUCAUCGCACCACCUGUACCUGCAACUGUUGUUGUAGUAAUCUGUGAGCCACGAGGAAUCUGCAAUCCCAUUACCAUGGGUAUCAAGACUAGCAAAGCUUAAAGGGAAAGGAAGGGGUAAAGUGGUGAGGCUGCAGCAGCGGCUAAGCAUGAUAUGGUGGCUAACAUACGCAAAUAAGAGCGAGAAGAGAGCAAGCAGAACGGUCGUGAAACUAGCAAUGAUCAAGAAGUGAUCCUGAACUCCCACUUACGUCAAACAUAACCCAGAAACCGUGUUCACUUUCCGGACUCCGCCGAGAAGAGACCAUCACGGCUACACACGCGGUUGAUGCGUUUUAAUUCGGAUCUGGUGUCAAGUUAUCUACAACCGGACAUUAACAAAUUCCCAUCUGCCUAUAACUGCAGGCACGGCUUUCGAAAGAUUAUACCCUGCAGGGGUGUCCCAACUUAGCCCAUGACAAGCUCUCGCGAUCAAAGAAGGAAUAGACCUUCUCCCAGGAAGACCCGAUCAGACUCGGAAUCCCGGUUUACAAGACAUUUCAACGAUGGUAAAACAAGACCAGCAAGACCGCCCGAUGCGCCGACAAUCCCGAUAGGAGCUGCACAUAUCUCGUUCUCAGGGCACACCGGAUUGUCCAAACUUCCGGUAGGCCAGCCCAGAGUUGCCCCUGGUGGCCACCGGCGGUUGACAGGUUGGACCAACACUCACGACGAGCACUGGCCCGGAGGGGAUAAAAUAAAGAUGACCCUCGAGAGCGCGACUCCCAUGGGAAAAAGGGCUAUGUGAGGCAAAUGGUAAAACCAAGGUUGGGCCUUGCUGGAGGAGUUUUAUUCAAAGCAAACUGUCAAGGGGGUCCCAUAAAUCACCCGACCUCCCCGGCGAUCCUCGAAAUCCGUGCACGAGUUGACUUUCUCACCCUCGAGGUUGAAUUUUCUGCUAAGUCCCUAUAUUUUGUUAUUUUCAUGCCAUGUUCGUCAUGCUGUAUCUCUGCAUCCGUAGCUCCGUUUCAUGCGUGUAAUAUGUCAAAUUGUUCGUCUCAACGAGUACAUCAUUUCAUUCCAUUGAAUCAUGUUCAUUUGAGGUCAUCUUGAUGCCUGAAUCAUUGUUGUAAGAGUGCUUCAUGAUGUUUUCUGCUGUCUGUUAUCAGAACGAGCUCUUUUGUCAUUUUUGCCAUGAUUGAUGUGUGCAUCUUAUGAGGUUGAUGUCUACAUGUGUUUUGAACUAUGCCAUGUGUUCUUUAUAGAGGUGAUUACCAUGUAUUUUUGUGAUCAAUGUGGUGACUAGCACAAGCAUGCAAACUAGGCAUCGUGAUGUUACUGAUUUUAGUCCCUGUUCUGCUGUUAUUUUGAUGCCAUGUAAACUUGAUGCUACAGAAAGAUCCAUGCAUAUUUUGAGACACUUCAGUAAGGGUGUUUUGAACAUGUGGUUAUUGUCUAUCCAUUCAUGCCCUUGGUUGCAAUUAUGGAGUAGCCUAGAAUGUCAUUUUCGUGCUCUACUUUUGCUUCAAAAUGUUUCCUGGCAGAUUGUUUACAUGUUAUUCAAUUUGGCCAAGGUUGCUAUAGUUGAUCCUUGCAUGCUAUGGACUUGUUCUUGACUUGGUUUGUUUCACAAACAUGUAUUCUUGAUGAUGAUAUGCUUAUCCUAUCAUGCAAUGACUUGUGGUGAGUGAAUCGAGCUUGUUAAGUAGGGUACUUGAUGUUGUUGUUUUGCUAGGCUGAAUCUAUUAUUUCGUGAUGCUAUAUAAACCUACUGCUACUAUGGUCAGUAAAGGACUUUUGAUCUAUGAAAUUAGUAGAUUCAUGCCAUGCCUUUGUUUGCCAUGAUAAGUUCCUGUAACAUGUUGUUUGAUAGCUCUAAACAUUGCAUCGUGAUGUUAUUUUCUGCAAAGUCUGAAAUUGUUAUAACUUGCAAUCUUACCAUGUGUGUUUGAGCAUGUUCUAAUGAUUUCUGCAGAUAGCUCAGUGUUCAUGUUUUGUUGUGCUUUACCUGUACAUCAUGCUCAUGCAUUUUAUUUUCAUAUUGUGGUGCUGUAGCAUAUUGUUUUGAUGCUUGCAAUAUACCUAGUUGCUGUUUUGGACAGAUUGUUGCUUUCACUUGUAUAUGGUGUGUGUGCUGAACCGUUGCUCCGUUUUGAGUGUGCUCUAUAUGAAACUUGCUUGUUUUUGCAUGUAGUUUCAUAUUAUCAUGUUGCAUCCAUGUUUUGAGGUGUUUGCUUGAUGUUUGAGUGCAUUUUACAUCAAUGCCAUGUUUAACUUGUUUUGCUCAUAUCUUCUAGGCCGUACCUCCGAACUAAAUGAACUUUAUAUGUAACUUGACUAGAAUCUCGUGUAGAUCAUCUUUGUGCAUCUUAACUUGCUGUUUAACAACUUGAACAUAAGGUUUAUUCUGAUCUGGACCAACUUCGAAAUAUGCAUAUGAGGACUUAUCAGAAUUGUUAUAUGUUGUUCCCGGCCUCAUUUAAACUUGCCUUGAUGUGUUGUUCUUGUUUGCAUCAUCUCUGGCCAUGAGUAGCCUCAUCUAGAUUUGUCAUGCAUCAUGCUUGUUGUGCAUCAUGUCAUGUUCAUGUGUGGUGUGUUUACUAUGUUGUGUGCUUCUUUUCGAUAGUUCCCGUUUUGUUGCGAUCGUGAGGAUUCGUUCGUCUAUGCUUGGUUCUUCUUCGUGGCUUCAUCUUCUUCAUGGACUCGUUCUUCUUCCUUGCGGAAUUUCAGGAAAGAUGACCGCUACCCUGGAUCUCACUACUAUCAUUGCUAUGCUAGUUGCUUCGUUCUAUCGCUAUGCUGCGUUACUUAUCUCUGCUCAUCAAGCCUCCCAUAUUGCCAUGAACCUCUAACCUUUGACACCUUUCCUAUGCAAACCGUUGUUUGGCUAUGUUACCGCUUUUGCUCAGCCUCUCUUAUAGCGUUGCUAGUUGCAGAUGAAGUUGAAGAUUUCUCCAUGGUGGACAGUGUUUUUGUUGGGAUAUCACAAUAUCUCUUAUAUUAUUAAUGCAUCUAUAUAGUUGGUAAAGGGUGGAAGACUCGGCCUUAUGCCUGGUGUUUUGUUCCACUCUUGCCGUCCUAGUUUCCGUCAUACCGGUGUUAUGUUUCCGGAUUUUGCGUUCCUUACGCGGUUGGGUGAUUUAUGAGACCCCCUUGAUAGUUCGCUUUGAAUAAAACUCCUCCAGCAAGGCCCAACCUUGGUUUUACCAUUUGCCUCAUAUUUCUAUCAUAGCUUACUAUGGAAAUAGCUAUCAGAACCGUCGGACUCUGCCUCAAGAUUCGAACCGAAGUGUGGUCCGGUUCCUUUUCUUGUUCUUUUGUUGAUUUUUGGAUGGUGUAACCCGGCCCACGUGCUGACAACUUUACAGAUGGAGUAAAGACAGGGCCUGCCCCAUGUGGUUCUGACUCGUUCUUGGACCAACUCGUCGGUCACGGACGUGUGCAAUGGAGGUUCCACGCCGUCCAUUGAACUUUUUUUAGCAUCAGUAGGCGCCUCGUCGUCGAUGGGAACGUCUUCUCCCACUGGAAGCGCAUCGCCGGAAAUUCUGAAAUAAAUCCAGAAAUAAUGCGAGCACCAGGAUUUGAACCCUGAUGGAUUAGGGAUAUCACUGUCCACCUAACACACUCAACCACAGGUUGAUUCGCUCACUGUCCAUUGAACUUGCAUACCGGUUCCUGCUGCUCGUGAGCCUCGUUACGGCCAGUUCCUUCGUCGCAUGACACCUUUUUUUUCCAGUUGCCACGUCGCGUUCCUUUUCCAUCUCUUUGGCGAAUUUUGUGUUGAUAAAAGCCUGUGUUGAGUCAGUACAGCACAGGUUCGGAGGUUCCGCGCCCUCAUAAAAUGAACGUGUAGGUUCUGUCGUAUAUAAUACUACCAUAGUACAUGAUUUUCCCUACAUAUACGUAGCCGGCGUGCAGGAGUGUCAGAACCUUCAAUGCAUGCACUGUAUCAGUGUCAUACACAUGCAAUAGGACAAAUUUUUUAAGCACAAAAGGAUGGAUAGUUUAAUGCAACCCCUCAUAUGGACAUACAGGCAGCUUAAUUCGUGCCGUGCUCCUACAGGUAAAUAUACUACCUGUAAUCGCAAUUGAAUAUGAAAAAAAAACAGUCGAUUCAACGUUUCAUGAAGACUCGUUUGGCACCACUCUUGGAUUUGAUGAUACUUCGUGGCAACCAACUCCCUCCUGUCGGUUCUUUUAUGAAGACUCGUUCGAUACCGCCCUUGAAUUUGACGGUUCUUCGGGGUGACCAACUCCCUCCUAUCGGUUCUUUUGUGAAGACUCGUUCGGCAUCAUCCUUGAAUUUGACAUUUCUUCGGGGCGACCAACUCGCUCCUAUCGGUUCUUUCGUGAGACUCGUUCGGCACCACCCUUGGGUUUGACGGUUCUUCGUGGCGACCAACUCCCUCUUAACUGUUCUUUUUUGAAGACUUGUUCGGCACCACCAUUGGGUUUGGCGGUUCUUUGUGGCGACCAACUCCCUCUUAUCGGUUCUUUUGUGAUGACUCGUUCGGUACUACCCUCUGAUUUGACGGUUCUCCAUGGUGACCAACUCUCUCCCAUCGGUUCUUUGGUGAAGACUCGUUCGGCACCACCCUUUGAUUUGACGGUUCUUCAUGAUGAAUAACUUCCUCCUACCAGUUCUUGAUGGCGAUGUCGGCUCUUCACAAAUUCGAUUCCAGUUGCAAGUAUAGUUUUGACGGCUCUACGGAGGUGGAAUCCGGUUCUUUGCAAAUUGUAUUCUGGUUCCAAGUAUAAUUUUGAUGGUACUGUGGAGGUGAGACAUCGGCCCUAGCGUAUUACCUUCUCACAAAAAAAGAACUUGUAUUACCUAGCGUAGUGGACACAAGCUAGUACAUACAGUUGUUUUAUACCUGAUGAAUAAUUAACUUAGCCAACACUAAUCAACUGUCUUGACAAGAUUACCUAACACAGUAGUCCCCCGUACAAGCCACGGGUCACAGCUAGGGAAGCAGGGAACGGAGACAGUGACCUCGAGGUACGGCAGUGCAUAUAUCGAAGCAUUGGCGCAUGCACAAGUGCACGCAUCUGCAGCAGUAGGGACAUACUCAUAUUAUAAUUUUCUGUGAAGCUCUAGCACCUAGUGCCCCAGCUCUGCACCAAGUCCUGAGGCCUGGAGUGUCAAUAGCUGCUUAGCCAAAAGAUCUNNNNNNNNNNNNNNNNNNNNNNNNNNNNNNNNNNNNNNNNNNNNNNNNNNNNNNNNNNNNNNNNNNNNNNNNNNNNNNNNNNNNNNNNNNNNNNNNNNNNNNNNNNNNNNNNNNNNNNNNNNNNNNNNNNNNNNNNNNNNNNNNNNNNNNNNNNNNNNNNNNNNNNNNNNNNNNNNNNNNNNNNNNNNNNNNNNNNNNNNNNNNNNNNNNNNNNNNNNNNNNNNNNNNNNNNNNNNNNNNNNNNNNNNNNNNNNNNNNNNNNNNNNNNNNNNNNNNNNNNNNNNNNNNNNNNNNNNNNNNNNNNNNNNNNNNNNNNNNNNNNNNNNNNNNNNNNNNNNNNNNNNNNNNNNNNNNNNNNNNNNNNNNNNNNNNNNNNNNNNNNNNNNNNNNNNNNNNNNNNNNNNNNNNNNNNNNNNNNNNNNNNNNNNNNNNNNNNNNNNNNNNNNNNNNNNNNNNNNNNNNNNNNNNNNNNNNNNNNNNNNNNNNNNNNNNNNNNNNNNNNNNNNNNNNNNNNNNNNNNNNNNNNNNNNNNNNNNNNNNNNNNNNNNNNNNNNNNNNNNNNNNNNNNNNNNNNNNNNNNNNNNNNNNNNNNNNNNNNNNNNNNNNNNNNNNNNNNNNNNNNNNNNNNNNNNNNNNNNNNNNNNNNNNNNNNNNNNNNNNNNNNNNNNNNNNNNNNNNNNNNNNNNNNNNNNNNNNNNNNNNNNNNNNNNNNNNNNNNNNNNNNNNNNNNNNNNNNNNNNNNNNNNNNNNNNNNNNNNNNNNNNNNNNNNNNNNNNNNNNNNNNNNNNNNNNNNNNNNNNNNNNNNNNNNNNNNNNNNNNNNNNNNNNNNNNNNNNNNNNNNNNNNNNNNNNNNNNNNNNNNNNNNNNNNNNNNNNNNNNNNNNNNNNNNNNNNNNNNNNNNNNNNNNNNNNNNNNNNNNNNNNNNNNNNNNNNNNNNNNNNNNUGGAGAUGGAGUUAUGGUGGAGGGGGCAUUAAUGGGGAGAGGACGAGAGGUAGGAGAAAGAGAGAUGUGAGAGAGGCCAUUUAUGGAGAAGAGUUAUGGUGGAGGGGGACAUUAAUGAGGAGAGAAGAGAGGUAGUAGGAAGAGAGAAGAAGAGCAACAAUGGUGGAGAGUGGAGAGGGGAAAGGAGGGGGAGAGAGGGCAAAGUGGGGGAGAGGAGGGGGAGGGGGUGAAAAGGUGGCACCAGCCGCAACUAGCAGUAGCGCUGCUUACCAAAACGCGAUGCUGCUACCGUACUUAGUAGCAGUGCUUUCCUGGAGAAGCGCUACUACUAAGUGGGGCCCAUUAGCAGUAGCGGCGCAGUAAAAUAAAGCGCUACUACUAAACUGUUAGUAGUAGUGUUGGAUUCUGCACAGCGCUGGUACUACAUCUAUCGUCGGUGGCCUCGUCUGGUCCCACGUACUAGUACCGUGUUUUUGGUUUCCAGCGCUACUGCUAUAGACAGAAUAGUAGCACUUUCCUGGAUCGGCGCUACUGCUAACUAGUAGCAGCGUUGACUAUUUUCCAGCGCUACUGCUAACUAGUAGCUGCUAACUUGUAUAAGCAUUUCCCUAGUAGUGUUAAUUUUAUUGACAGAUUGCACUUCUAGUUUCUACAGCUAGUGCUAACCGAUGAUUGAAAAAUAUAUCUACCUUAACUCUAGACAACUACAUCACAUUGUCACUGCCUAGCAGUGCUGAACCCUAGCGAUACAAAUAAAAAAAUUACAAUGGCAGUGACCUACAACAAAAGAGGGAGGGAUGAUAUGCUCACCUGGGUUGGAGCCGAGGGUUGCCUACAGUCUACUCUGUCGCCGUCAUCGUCACCUGUGGUAGAUGAGAGUGGGAGGCUCAGAUGCAAAACACACCUCUAAAUUAAAAAAAAUUCCAAAUGGACUAGAUGAGAGUGGGAGGCUCAGAUGUGUACCUCAAGACCGGAGAACGACGACAAUCGUCGGAAUCGGCCAAAAUCAAAGUGGCACGACCAGCGGCGAGAGAGGGAGAGAAAAGGGAACGAAACAGAGCAGCGGGUCACAGAGUGAGAGUGGGUUGAGGGGGUCGUUGCCCCCAUUGGUUUUGACCCCCACGGCAUUCUAAUACUAUUUGUGCUUGCCCAAUAAGAAAAAAGAUCACCACCUAGAAAUUGUCAUCUCAAAACUAUAUAUUUCAAGUCUUAAACUAAAAAGGAAAAAAAGUAAAUUUAACAAAAGUAAACUAUAAUAUACUAUUAAAAAGAUCACAGAAUAAAAAACUAAAAAAAUUUGGAAGUGUCAAAAUACAUAUUUGAAGGCUCAAAACUAUAUAUUUCAAGUCUUAAACUAAAAAGGAAAAAAANNNNNNNNNNAAAAAAAUAGUAAUGUAAGAAUGUUGGCAUUGACAGAAUAACAAUAGCGGCGUCGGUUAUAACAGCACGCCACAACUAAAUAUAAUAGUGUUGGCGUUCCAUGCUAUUCCACGACAGCGAUAUAUUACGCCUGGUACAAAUUGUUGAUCUCAUAUAUUUCUCACACUGCCUUGUUUUCGAACGCCACUACUAUGCCCCUACUAAUAUCGUACCAAAUCAGCCAACGCCAUCACUAUUUGAAAAAAAAUAGUGGUGGCGUUGGUUGUAAAUGGAGCGCCACCAACGAAAGUUGUGGCUAACCCUUUUUCCACUAGUGAAGAUUGAGGGAGGUUGUUAGAUAAUGUUUAUACGUAGCUUUCGUGUAGACACUUUAUAAUGAGAUAGCCACACCCGUAUUGGGUGUCGUUCAGUUUCCCACGAACAUAACGUUUUACAAUCCUGAGAGGCCAUCCAAGGGAGUCUGUUGUAGGCUGAUGCCGUUUUUACCCUCUCUAACUAAACCUAAAGUGGCGAAGUUACUAGCAUGUCGCCAUGUCCUUGCACUAGAGAAGGAAGUUGGGGUUUAGACGAUCGUCAUGGAGAUGGACUGAAAGAUGGUUGUGAGCAAGCUCAACUCUGAAGGGAAGGACGGAGGGAAUAGUAAGUGUAUAUUUGUUUCUAAAUAUGAAAAUAUUACUAUUAAAUACUAAUAUACCAAAGAUAUAAGAAUAUUAAAUACUAGUAUACCAAAGAUAUACCUAAAUAUAAGAAUAUUUAAUAGUAGUAUACCGAAGAUAUUCUACAGUUAAAUUCUAAUAACUCUGUUCCAAAAUAUAAGAAUAUUACUAUAAAAUACUAUUAGCUGUUUUCAAAUAAUUAGUAAUAGAGAUAAUAUUCUUUUGUCGUGAUAUAUCUUUAUUCCUCAUUAAAUAUAAGAAUAUUACUAGUAUUAAAUACUAGAAUCCCAAAGAUAUAUCUAAUAGUAUACCAAAGAUAUACAACAAUUAAAUAAUAUUACAUAUGUUCCAAAAUAUAAGAAUGUUACUACUACCUCCGUCUGGAAAUAGUUGUCAUCAAAAUGAAUAAAGGAGGCUGUAUCUAGAUGUAUUUUAGUUCUAGAUACAUCCCUUUCUAUUUGUUUUGAUCACAAGUAUUUUCGGAUGGAGGGAGUAUUAAAUACUGUCACAACUAUUCUUAUAUUUAGUAACAGAGAUAAUAGUAUUUAAUAGUAGUAUAUCAUUUUUCCUAAAUACUCCCUCCGUNNNNNNNNNNAUAUAAGAAUAUUUAAUAGUAGUAUACCGAAGAUAUUCUACAGUUAAAUUCUAAUAACUCUGUUCCAAAAUAUAAGAAUAUUACUAUAAAAUACUAUUAGCUGUUUUCAAAUAAUUAGUAAUAGAGAUAAUAUUCUUUUGUAGUGAUAUAUCUUUAUUCCUCAUUAAAUAUAAGAAUAUUACUAGUAUUAAAUACUAGAAUCCCAAAGAUAUAUCUAAUAGUAUACCAAAGAUAUACAACAAUUAAAUAAUAUUACAUAUGUUCCAAAAUAUAAGAAUGUUACUACUACCUCCGUCUGGAAAUAGUUGUCAUCAAAAUGAAUAAAGGAGGCAGUAUCUAGAUGUAUUUUAGUUCUAGAUACAUCCCUUUCUAUUUGUUUUGAUCACAAGUAUUUUCGGAUGGAGGGAGUAUUAAAUACUGUCACAACUAUUCUUAUAUUUAGUAACAGAGAUAAUAGUAUUUAAUAGUAGUAUAUCAUUUUUCCUAAAUACUCCCUCCGUCCCAAAAUUCUUGUCUUAUAUUUGUCUAGAUACGGAUGUAUCUGACACUAAAAUGUAACUAGAUACAUCCGUAUUUAGACAAAUCAAAGACAAAAAUUUUGGGAUGGUGGGACUAUAAGAAUAUUACUAUUAAAUACUAGUAUACAAAUAUAUAUUUAAUAGUAUACCAAAAUAUAAGAAUAUUUAAUAGAAAUAUACCAAAGAUAUGCUACUAUUAAUUGCUGGUAUUAAAUAAAUAAAUCUGUAGAUUAACACGCGGUCCCCACCUUGGCCUGUGCCUUCCGUUUCAGUUCAUAAAAGGCAACACAUGCUUCUCCUCCUCGCUCACAUUCUUCUCAUCCCGCUCUCCUCAACCAACUCCGUGCGUCUGCUCGACCGAUCCACCGCGAUGUCUAGCUCCGACGUCAGUGCCAUGCCCGCAGCCAACCACGAGGGGCACAGCCUGGCGGGCCCCGCCCCGCCCCCUGCGCCGGUGGUUCACAAGCGCAAGCCCGGGAGACCCCAGGAGAAAAGCCCGCCCCCAGCGGCCACCAGAGAGGAGCUGGAAUCCAGGGAGUCCCGGGAAGGACCCUUGAAGGUGCUUGCGCUCCCGGCGCCAGGGGCCCGGCGUGCUUAUGUUGUCUCAGAUGACAAGAUGGUGAGCCGCGCUCGCGCCCCCACACGGCGUGCAAGCGCGGUAUCCAACAACAAGAUGGUGAGCCGCGCUCGCUCCCCCCCCCCCUCUGCUACUAGUGAUUUGAAGUUAACCGGUGCCUAAUGAGCUGGAGUUAUUGACAAUCUUUAAUCUAGUCAUGUGAAUUAGUGCUAGUGCUUAAUGAACUACCUGAUGUGUAUGUGCAAGAAUUACGUGCUGGGUAUAUGUCCUUGGACUUUCUAAUCGCUGCGAUCUCAUCUGGCAGAUGGACAGGAACGAGAUAACGCCGGUGGUUCGCAGGCGCAAGCCCGGGAGACCCCAGGAGAAAAGCCCGCCCCCAGCGGCCAUCAGAGAGGAGCUGGAAUCCCGGGAGUCCCGGGAAGGCCCCUUGAAGGUGCUUGCACUCCCGGCGCCAGGGGCCCCGCGUACUCACGCUGUCUCCGGCGACAAGAUGAUGAGACGCGCUCGCGCCCCCACCCGGCAUGCAAACAUUGUCUCCGACGACAAGAUGGUGAGCCGCGCUCGCGCCCCCACCCUGCAUGCAAACCAUGUCUCCGAUGACAAGAUGGUGAGCCGCACUCGCUUCCCCCUCUCCUACUAGUGAUUUGAAGUUAACCGGUGCCUAAUGAUUUGAAGUUACUGACAAUCUUUAAUCUAGUCAUGUGAAUUGUACUGUAGCUUACUGAAUUACCUGAUGUGUAUGUGCAUGAACUACGUGGUGUGUAUAUGUCCUUGGAUUUUCUAAUCGCUGCGGUCUCGUCUGGCAGAUGGACAAGAACGAGAUGGCGCCAGUCCAGGGGGUGCCGCGCAUGCGAGGGAGCAUCGCGUCGUCAAGUGCGGUUGGUAAGUAUACUUUAUGCUGCUUUUUUUGUCAACAUCGUCUCCGUGCAGGCUACACUGGCAAACAAGCUGCUUAACUCUUGUGCAUGCUGGUUUUUCGUCAUCACUAGUAUACUGGUAUUGGACUGAAGCUUGUUAGCUCUGUCCAUGCUGGGUCUUUUUUUUUCAUUAUUAGUAUUGUUAUAUAUUAGCUGAAGCUGCACAUGUUUUCUUUCCAUUGACGUUGGUGCGGGCGGUGCUACGCGUCAGUCGGCCGAGGGAUGGACGCCUUACUCACCUGAUUUUAAUCAAGUCCCACCUAGGUGUAGUUUGUUUUGUCACUAGCUGUGUAUACAUAGGCGAGCUCCAGCACUAUGUUGCAGCGUGGAAAACAUAUGAACUGUAAUAAGAAACAUGCAAUGGCUAGAAAUAUCUCCACAUAUUUUUUCAGCACGUUUUAGGUGUCAACGAAAUUAGUCGGAUCGCCGGCCAUCGAAUUGACAUAUGGAGCAUUGGAUCACACUACACGGCAGCAGAGAGAAUGGAAACCGUGUUCCUCCAUAGCCUCCACAAUACAUGUGUAUCCACCACCCCUCCCACAUCGUCGCAACAGACAAUUACGUCGGCCCCUUGCAACACCUGGCUUUGGUACCCUAGAGAUCCCUGAUAUCGCUUGGAUAUCCUGCAAGUAUUAUUACAAUGCGCCAACAAGGCGUCGUCCUUGCAACAUUGUCUUACAGACAAUGUAGUUGAUGCCACCACCACCAUCACCCAUUUACACAUGGGCCGUGGCAUGUGGCACUGUUCGUGGGAUAAAACACACCCCGCGAGAAUAUGCGGUUGCACCACUAUGAUCUGUGCAUCUUAGGAAUUGUUGUGACUGCCCCUGCAAAACUAGCGAUGAUACGACCAUCGCCUUGCAACAUCGGCCAUAGUUGUAGCACAUAUGAGAAGACGGAUGCCGCACCUAACAACACAUUAUGUGUUUUUUGCACCAUAUGAAAGCACUGCCUUGCAACAUCGGCUAUCAGGGUGCUGCACCGACAAACACACUCACGACCUUGAGAUGUCGUAUGCCUUGGCCGAUGUAGCAUAGUGCUCCUCUUUCAGCAUAUAGCGAUGGCUUGUAGCAUUGAUGGUCGGAGAGUCGCAACAUCAUUGAGUGGCAGUGCUAGCCCAACUCAUUGUCAUAGAGAAAGGGGAAUAAAGGAUGGGUGUGCACGUGGUGGAAAUAAAGUGAAUGGAUAUGGUGAAGAGAGAGGAAGACUAACAGGGGCAUCUGGCGCUAGAGCGAUCUGACUGAUUUACCCCUGAAACCAGCCUGUUGAAUAUAAUUCAAUUUUCUUUUGAGAGACCUCAUAAAAACGUCGCAACAUGCGAGCAUGUCUAUACAAAAAAUUGUAGAUAUACAACGCAUACUCAUUAGCUUCAACAAAUAAGUGAAAAAACACAAUGUAUAUAGGCCUGAACCGAUGGAUCAUCAGCAUGCAUCUACCAGAUCUUCCUAGGUUACGCCCAACCGUGAGUCGUUCAAUUGGGUCACACAUCACUACCCAAUCAAACACCAACUUAGUUGUUCCUCUCGUCUCCUCUACCCACCCUUCGCAACAUACACCCAUGAUUCUCAGCAAUAGACCAACAUGGAGGCGACAAUGGUGUCCAUGAUAGGCUAGUCAAAAGCACACUGGUGAUCAACCUUACAACACUAAACAGAACAUUGCAACAUGAGGUAACCCCAACUUUGUAGCACUGGUGCACCAUUUUCAACCACCUUGUAGCAAUGAAAAGUUCACUGACCAAUAGCAUUGCUGCACCAAGUUACCGGCUUCCGGCACUGAACACACGGGCUUGCAGCACCGCGAUGAUCGAUGGUCGGCCUUUCAACAAUAUUAGUUAACAUUGCACACCUCGUCUCCAUUUUUAUGUACAUACACAUGAGUGAGAUUGGAACAUCAGUAACGUAACAACAUUACCAAACAUGAAGACAAUAAAUUUGUUUCUCCAAGCAUAGACGUUACUGAAUAAGCGUGCAACUGCACAUCCACCACAUGAGCCAUAAUUUUUUAGCUCUGUGACAACAGCUUAUAGUUGCAAAAGAGCUGACGAUGAUGGUUUAGAAUGUAUAUGAUCAAAAUAGAUUAAAUGGAGGGGAGGAUGGACUACCUAUGUUGAAUCGGACUAGCCGCAAGGUCACAAGUGCCUUGUCUAAAUAGCCAAAAAGACAAAAGGAGGCCUCCUGGAUUCUCCAUCCUGAAGCUAAGCAUAACUCCAACUCCAGACACGCUAGGGGGCUACUAAAGGUGCAAUACGCUAGGGAUGUCUUCUGGGUGGGAAGCCCGGUAGCAGGCUUGCCUUAGGGCCCAAGAGGCCAACUGGAGGAUCGGUGCAGUAGGGCAGCUCAGGAGCCUAGAUAAGGACUGUGGGAGCAUCUUGGCAGGCAAGCUAAGAUGGCAGUGGUAUGAGAUCUGAUGGAUUCCUUGUAAACCUAGCCCGCGCCACCUAUAUAAGGAGGGGCUCGGGGUUGUCAUUCACAUAUACUCUCAUAGACUAUACUCUCUAUAGCAUUAUACUUCAUCUCCACUCUAAACGCCUCGCACAAGGUGCUCCACCAUGAAUAAAAAUCAGAUACAGGAUGUUGGGCAUUACCUCUCACCGAGGGCCCGAACCUAGGUAAAAACCUUUGUGCGGACUACCUUGUCGUGUAUCCCUACAAGUUCACCACCCUACUAUGGGUACUCACGGUUUUCCAUACUAUCACAUAGUUAAGUUCUAACACAUUUUCUCUGGGGAGUUGAAGCAACUCAUGGUGUAAGUAGGUGUUGCUUGAAGCACUGAUUCUACUAGCACCUCCUUUCCCUCCUUUGAGAUACCUUGUCCUUCCAAUCCAACCACUUUGCCAUUUGAGCUUUCUUUAAUAUGUUUAAAAUUUCCUUCCUUUGACCUACCCACCACGGUUGGGAGCCCCAAAAAAUGCUCGCUCAAUGCCUUAGGAUCUGUGCAAAGAUAUUAACAACAACUUAGUCCUCCUAUUUGCCUCACUUCCCAAAGAAGGUUGAAGCUUUUAGAAAAUUUCCCAUUUGUCCCGAGGCCCACUCGUAGUCAAAUAGGAUAUAUUUAAGGUUACAAAGUUGCCAUUUGACGGUUGAAGAAAUACUAUACUAUCAUCUGCAGAAAUACGAUGGGCUACAUGGGGGUUAGUGCUCCCAAAAGAUAUACCAUUGAUCUCUUUAUCUUUGAGCACUCAUGAGAAAGGCCAAAAAACUCGCAACAUAGAAAAUAAGAAAAUAGGGAGACCAUUGGUCUCCUUGCCAGAGCCCUCUUCAUAGUAUAAAAAAUACAUAACACACUCCUUUCAAUUUGAUAGAAAACCUGGCCGGGGUACCACACAUCAUAAUCGUCAAGAUCAACCUAUCUGAGAAACUAAGUGCCCUCAUCAUCAGAUCGAGGAAAAUCCAAACCACCCUCUUAUAGGCCUUCAUCAUGUAUAGUUUAAUUGCGAACAUUGGAUUUUUCUAUUUCUUGAACGAACAUACUUUGCUCCUGCGUGAUCAUUAUGGAUAUGACAACCUUCAAUCUCUUUGCUAGGCCUUUGAAGCAAUCUGACUGAGCGUGUUCAAUAAGUUGAUUGAUCCCAUUUGAGGAAGUAUCUCCAUUGAGGUAAUUUUGGGGAUUAGGACUAGAACCAUAUCACUAAAGUUUGGUCAAAUAACUCCAUUAAAAGAAUCACCUAUUACUAUGCGUACAUCAUUUUUUAGAAAUAACUAGUGAAAUUGGUAAACAUAAGUGAGAGGUUAUCUUGCCCCUGCGCUCUUUCCAGUCAAAUUUAGAAUAGUGCAUUCUCAAUUUCUUCAUCCAUCACGUCCGUGUUCACCCUCUCCUCCAUAUCACUAGUCACACAGGGUCGGAUGUGAGCUAAGAUGUUGUCAGCAUCAACAGAGGCUUCUGAAGAAAACAACUAAGCAUAGAAAUCGGCCGAAAUCUUCCCCAUCUCAUUGUCAAUAGUACAACUCGUGCCAUCCGCCCUCAUGUUUUGAUCGUCUUCCUUGAGAAAUUCCAGUUGGGAACAUUGCAUACACAUUAUUUGUUCCUGUGCACGAACCACAUGAAGCUACGCUUCAAUCUCGCUGGUCUUCAGCAAGGAUGUCUAGAUCCCAAUGCACUACCCUUUCCAUCGAAGCUGGACCUUGUGCCUAGUAAUCUCACAACAUACAAGAUAAAAUACAGAGCCACUUCAAUGUUUCAUAUCAUUGGUGACAUUGUUACGCUUCCUGUAGAGCUCACUCUGGCCGAAAUUGUUAUCACAUGCACACUAUCAUGCCUACAUGGGCAUCCACCUCUCCUCAAACGUUAAUGCCCUCUUCUUACUUUUGGUAAUGACUAGGUUUUCUAGCGAUCUAUUAACGAGCAAACCAUGGUCUGGUCCUCCAUGACAACAUGUUCAAUGGGUGUAUCCUACAAUGAAUGCACGAAUUCAUCAUUGCAUGGACCCCUGUCCACAUGUACAUAAACGAUCUCAUCCCGCUCCCUCUUAUUGUCCCAAGUGUACAUGUUGCUACUAAAACAAAGUUUUGAAACACUAUUAUUGGCUACACUCUCCCUAAUGCGCUCCAUUUGUGUGAAACUACUCAAGUAAUCUCCUAGUUGUUGUGAUUAAAAGAAUUCUUUGUUGAGGUAUCAUUGUAAUAGAUAAAUGUAUUAUUAGGAUCCAGUCUCUCGGAGCCUCCCUUAGCUACACAAAUUUUCAUCAAUCUCUCUUCCUAUCCAGUAGCUUUAGGUGAUAAUCAUUGUGACGCCUUUGGUGGUCACCAUCACGUUGCCUUGUCUUAUGAACAGAAGUGCCUCGUCUGCGUUGCUCUGAGGUAGAUGGGUCAUCUUUCCCAAUGGCCUUGCACCCUUUCCCAUAUAGAUUUUUUUAUGUCUUGCUUACUUUCAUGCUCCUUCCUCAGGUCCCACUUCCUUUUUAGAUUUAAAUCAUCCCUUAGUUCACAAUAAUGUCACAUUUCUUGCCUGCAUUGGCCCUCCCUACACUUCAUCUUAGGCAGUUACCUGUACAAGACCAUCUCGAGGAUCCUCGCUAGAGAGAGAGUCCACAGAGGGUGUAUAAUCAGUGUAUGACCUGCACGUAAAUGGACGGGCAUGCAACGCUACAUGACCCUGCGCCCAUAGACGCCCUUGCUUGACCUAGUGCUCCCAAAACUAAAGUUCCUGCUUUCUUUCACCGGCCUCUACUUAGUUUUUGCCUAUGAGGAGCCAUGUCCAAGUGAUGCCCUCAACCAUUCACCCAACUGGGGUGAGGAAUCAUUUUGUGGUUCAAAUCAUCUGUCAACAUGUGCUAGUCUGUCGUAGUCAAUCCAAAAGAGAGGUAUCUUCUCAAAUUGAAAAUCAAACAAGGUCCCCUCAUCUUUUGCUGAAGAGUGGAGAAAGAAGCCUUAGACUAGUGAAAGAAAUAUGAAAAAUCUAUCUCUAAAUCUGAGAUGGUUCCCCCAUAAAUCCAUCCUUCUUAACAUCACUCUUUACCACGCCACCAAGACAAUUCCCAAGAGCAUUCCCAAAAGUAUAUGAUCAUUUAUAUAGGGGAGGAUCUGUAAUUAUCACCCAUGGCUCCGUCAUACAAAACAUUAUCUUCGAUGACCUAGUUUUUUCAUCAUAAUCCUUCAAAACUAUCACAUUAAAACCAAAUUGCCACAUUCAAUUAUAUAGAGCGUGCUUCUAGACUCCUUUGUUAUGGAAUCUAAAGAAGAAGAUACUAUUUCUAAUGUGACUUACUUGGACUCCCUAAUAGUGUCACAUGUAUGUUGUGUAGCCCUAGCAAACACGUUGAUGUUGAUUUGCUGGAGUGAGCAUGCCUUUCCAACCACUGACCACCGAGUAGGCCUCGGUCGGUCUGGAAUCCUGAUUCUCAAGCAUGAGAUCUAUUAGUUCCUUUUGUUGUUAACUUCAGGGCUCCUUGUUAAUUUGGUUGAGAGAUUAGUUGCCUCCCCUGAAGCAUUUCCAUCUGUCAGGGACUUUGAAGGUUCUCAUCUUAAUGAUCCUUGGUCGCCCUGUUCACUUGAGCUGUCGAUUUACGCCACGCCUUCUCUCCCAUCGUCGCGCAAAGGAGUGGAAGCACCAAGACCAAUCAAUGUAGGAGUAUAGAGUGUCAUCACCUCAUAGAUGAACAGAAACCUAACCCUAGCACUACUUGUCGGUCGCCUAUAAUCGCCCUUAGCAUUUCUUUUCAUGUUGGGCCCGCCACAAGGUAUUUAUACGUGUGCUUCCAUUGGUACUUUUUUUGCAUUGGAGCCUUUCUGCUACAUUUGCCUUUCUACGAAGGAUGUCUUAUCCAAAUCAUAUAGUCUCCUCUAUCUAUAGGAAGCGAGGACAUUAGCUCUUCUUUUUUUCAAGGCAAAUACACUUGCUAGUGUUCAAGCGACAUCGAAAGAAGUCUUGUCACAUGUGAAGACGACGCUAAGAGUGUGACACAUAUAGGUGCCAACUUGAAGAAUAAUGCAAAUUUCAGUAAAUAUGAAUAGCUCCUGGGGGAACGAGCGCAUAAAGGAAUCAGCCACCAUAAAUGGAUCAUUUCCAAAGAAACAAAGUCACAAAGAGAGAGACAAGACAUUAGCUUCUUUAUGGGGAACACAUAUAUUUAAAUGUUGCCUUGCUCUCUGAUUAUUAACAAGAAAUAAUUUUUACUAAUAUAUUAUGUGUAAAUCUUGAUAGAUAUGGAAUGUAUUUUGGUCACUAUGUUUUAAAGAAUCAUAUUAGUUUUUGGUAUGUAGAAAUUAAAAGAAGUUCAUGUGCCUUCAAGGCAUGUCAAGGUGUGUUGUUCCACCUCAAAAUUGGUUCAUACUAAAUGGUUAUUCUCCCUACAUAUAGCCCCAAUUCUCAUGCUCUCUCUCUCUCUCUCUCUCUCUCUCUCUCUAUUUUAUAUUCCAGACUACUCCAUAAAGCCUAACUGGUGAAGGUCCAGAAAAACCCAGCAGUGACAGGUUCAACUCCCAUUAGUAGUCUAUACUUAGUGGAGGAGAAACAAGCCACUUACAGGCACGAGCCCGCCAAUGGUGAAUAAAUCAGGAAUGAAAAUCAGGCCAUGGCCAGUCCAAAUCCAGCACCUGCCAACAAUGUGUAGUCUCCACUACUCGAACCUACUUUUCCUCAGUGCGUUACAUCAUGCGAUGUUUGGAGAAUCCAUAGAGUUGGGGAUCCGAAUAUAAAAAACAACAAUGGGGAGUGGCUUGAAGAAUAGGAGCCAAGAAGCCGGACGGAGAAGGCCUCCACCAUGCUGCACCAUUGGCCGAUACUGACCCGUAUGGUGCAAGGACCAAGGCAGAACUGAACACCGUCAUCAUCUAGGUUGCAAAGGAAGUUGGACCACUAUGUUGCUUCUCUCGGACAAACUCAAUGAUUUCAUGCAGUUGGCACCCAUGCCACAUUCCAUAGAGAUAACAACAUUGAGGAGGAGGAGGGACAACGCAAGGUUUCUUCCUCAUAGGAAUUAGUUUCGAGGAAGUGGGGGGAUGAUAUGGCAUGAUGAGCAGUUAACAAGGGAAGUUUGCAUGACUGUGGAGGACAAAGCAUUAAGACAAGUGUGCUAGUAGCUAGAUAAGGGAUGAAUGAUAGCAGGAAGCAAUAAUGAGCUUACUGGGUGAGGCUACUAUUUUUUAAGUUGCGACCUACUAAUCAUAACAACAAUUGAUCGUAACAACGUACCAUUGAUGAUUUAGGGUAUUUAUUUAGUAACUGUCAGGAUGUGACUAGGGCUUCUAAGUGGUGGGUUGUAUAUUACUAACAAGUAGCAUGUUUAGCCUCAAUAUUGUCCUCUGUCACUCGUAACAACGUGCCAUUGACGGACCACAUAUUGGGCCCGUCACUACUACCUUUUUCAAACAAAAAUAGAAUUUUAGUUAUAGUUAGAUUCACAACAAUCCCGCCGGCCAUUAGUGUUAAGUAGCAUUGCUGACCAGUUUUUUGAACCACCACUUUUGAUCGAUAACUAGGCGAGAACUCUAGUGUAGUGCACAUUUGUUUGGUUGAGAAUUUUUAGUGUUUUUAUGUGCACAAAGACAUAUCGUUCAACCCUAACAUGUUCUCUUUAGGUGGGGUCGAGAGUGAAGGACUGGGUAGCUUGGAUGCAGGGGAAAUGGCACCUCGAGGGGUUCAAGUCUUCAUGAUCAAUAACCACAAUUUUGAUCUGAAUGAGCUACCGACUGAGCAUGAGUAGCUCAAGAAGGAGUAGUCACCCGUGGAGCAAGAGUAGCCACCUAUGGCACAACAUGAGCUUUAAUAUUCACAAUGGUUGGAGGCUACUCAAAUCCACCUUGUGUGAGCAAAAAUAACUCUUGGCCCAAAGUAUAGCCAUGUCAGAAAUUAUCGAAACAAUAUCCUUAUCCCAAGGACGAUUGUAAAGCUUAUGUGGAACUUUUCAAUUUCUCGCUUCCUAUUUUUUGGUGAUUGCCUGACGCUAUUGCUAAACUUGAGGGAAGGACUUGGUAUACUGCCUCAUGAUCAACGUGUCACCUGGAAUGGCUUUUCUAUUCAUUUCCCAUGAUGGUUUUGAUAUGUAGAUUGUUUGAACAAGCAUUUAUUCAUUCGGUAAAGCUUUGUGAAACAUCAACGGUGGAGCUAGGUCUCUCGUCAUGUGAAAUGACAGUAGGUCAAGAAAUGUG